Molecule: ribosomal RNA, 236 nt
Filed under: uncultured bacterium
Lineage: Bacteria
Description: partial 16S ribosomal RNA
Rfam family: Bacterial small subunit ribosomal RNA
Source: RNAcentral
CGCACGGGUGAGUAACGCGUAUGCAACUUGCCUAUCAGAGGGGGAUAACCCGGCGAAAGUCGGACUAAUACCGCAUGAAGCAGGGGCCCCGCAUGGGGAUAUUUGCUAAAGAUUCAUCGCUGAUAGAUAGGCAUGCGUUCCAUUAGGCAGUUGGCGGGGUAACGGCCCACCAAACCGACGAUGGAUAGGGGUUCUGAGAGGAAGGUCCCCCACAUUGGUACUGAGACACGGACCAA